GUGACACUGGACUGAGUCAGCUUCCAUCCCAAGGCAGCUACAGACACACAAUUCAGAGAAACUUUGUGCAAAAGAGAUUAAAGAUGCUCCUGAUCAUCCUGAUUCAACUCCUGAUCGUCGCAUCAGCAAAUGCCCAGGCAACCACCACUGUAGCACCUACAACUGCAGCACCCACCACUGCAGCAGCUACAACUGUAGCAGCUACAACUGCAGCACC
Molecule: long non-coding RNA, 217 nt
Organism: Platichthys flesus (European flounder)
Lineage: Eukaryota; Metazoa; Chordata; Actinopteri; Pleuronectiformes; Pleuronectidae
Exons: 3
Source: RefSeq, a predicted model, not a curated record